Molecule: ribosomal RNA, 452 nt
Filed under: Geobacillus kaustophilus
Lineage: Bacteria; Bacillati; Bacillota; Bacilli; Caryophanales; Anoxybacillaceae
Description: bacterial SSU rRNA
Rfam family: Bacterial small subunit ribosomal RNA
Source: RNAcentral
CAGCGGCGGACGGGUGAGUAACACGUGGGCAACCUGCCCGCAAGACCGGGAUAACUCCGGGAAACCGGAGCUAAUACCGGAUAACACCGAAGACCGCAUGGUCUUUGGUUGAAAGGCGGCCUUUGGCUGUCACUUGCGGAUGGGCCCGCGGCGCAUUAGCUAGUUGGUGAGGUAACGGCUCACCAAGGCGACGAUGCGUAGCCGGCCUGAGAGGGUGACCGGCCACACUGGGACUGAGACACGGCCCAGACUCCUACGGGAGGCAGCAGUAGGGAAUCUUCCGCAAUGGGCGAAAGCCUGACGGAGCGACGCCGCGUGAGCGAAGAAGGCCUUCGGGUCGUAAAGCUCUGUUGUGAGGGACGAAGGAGCGCCGUUCGAAGAGGGCGGCGCGGUGACGGUACCUCACGAGGAAGCCCCGGCUAACUACGUGCCAGCAGCCGCGGUAAUACGUA